ACGGGAGGCAGCAGUCGGGAAUAUUGGGCAAUGGAGGAAACUCUGACCCAGCAACGCCGCGUGAAGGAUGAAGGUCCUCGGAUUGUAAACUUCUGUUCUAAGGGACAAAGACAGUGAUGGUACCUUAGAAGAAAGCCCCGGCAAACUACGUGCCAGCAGCCGCGGUGAUACGUAGGGGGCAAGCGUUGUCCGGAAUGACUGGGCGUAAAGGGAGUGUAGGCGGUUUGCCAAGUUAAAUGUGAAAGCCCGGGGCUUAACUCCGGAACUGCAUUUAAAACUGGUAGGCUAGAGUGUGGGAGAGGUAAGUGGAAUUCCUAGUGUAGCAUUGAAAUGCGUAGAUAUUAGGAGGAACAUCGGUGGCGAAGGCGACUUACUGGAACAUAACUGACGCUGAGGCUCGAAAGCGUGGGGAGCAAACAGGAUUAGAUACCCUGGUA
Molecule: ribosomal RNA, 437 nt
Filed under: uncultured Clostridium sp.
Lineage: Bacteria; Bacillati; Bacillota; Clostridia; Eubacteriales; Clostridiaceae
Description: partial 16S ribosomal RNA
Rfam family: Bacterial small subunit ribosomal RNA
Source: RNAcentral